Molecule: ribosomal RNA, 253 nt
Filed under: uncultured bacterium
Lineage: Bacteria
Description: partial 16S ribosomal RNA
Rfam family: Bacterial small subunit ribosomal RNA
Source: RNAcentral
UACAGAGGGGGCAAGCGUUGUUCGGAAUUACUGGGCGUAAAGGGCGCGUAGGCGGCCUUCUAAGUCGAACGUGAAAUCCCCGGGCUCAACCCGGGAACUGCGUCCGAUACUGGAAGGCUUGAAUCCGGGAGAGGGAUGCGGAAUUCCAGGUGUAGCGGUGAAAUGCGUAGAUAUCAGGAGGAACACCGAUAGCGAAGGCAGCUCGCUGGGACGGUACUGACGCUAAGGCGCGAAAGCGUGGGGAGCGAACAGG